GUGGGUCGUCAGCAGGAGGAAGAUAGAGUUCGGGGUUGUAAUUAGCAAGGGAUUUAUUUGGCGUCACAUCGUCACUCACGCAUUAUUGGAAGCCAAAAACCGAAUACAGCGUGUUGCCCACACGAUUAAGUCCCAAUAGACACCGACGAGCGAGAGUUCUAGGCGUUUCUCAAGGAGAAAUCUAUGUUGGAUUCCAGCACGUGCCGUCUAAGUGGUGACGUGGAACAACAUCUUGGCACCGCUUCCGUCGGCAAAGGGCGGACAUCAUCUUUCCCACGUCGAUAUCUUUAUAUUAGCGUCCGAUAUCGUUAGCGACCGCAUCGAUCUUAUAGAUUCCACAUGAUAUAGGAUGAGAUGUGCUAAUGGUGACUUGGUAAUAUCAAAUCCGUAUUUCCGAGGCCCACGUCAACUCUUUUAUGUGAGAAGAGAUGAACUCGUUAUGCAGAGCAAGGAAACACCCUCCAUGACGUCGCGCUACUGAAAGCUAUUCUAACCUUAUCUUGUAAUUCGCCUUACAUCUCCAACACUAAUCAUACCAAAUGAGACUAAUUGAAGUAGUUGAAAUGUGACUCGAGUUUAAAACUAAACAUUUUUGUAUUGCUUGUUUCGAUUGAUUUUUAUUAUUAUUAUUUUGAUAAAAUUCAAAGGUUUGGCCAAAGGGCAACGGAGAGUUUACCUGGUUUAGUGUGGACGAGUCGAAAGGCUCCGGCAGCCACUUUCGUGUUCCUGGCACCACAAAAUAUGUUUAGGAUG
This 753-nucleotide long non-coding RNA is filed under the name Musa acuminata (dwarf banana). RNAcentral's name for it is "long non-coding RNA (MACU_LNC005151)". Lineage: Eukaryota; Viridiplantae; Streptophyta; Magnoliopsida; Zingiberales; Musaceae. The record is from RNAcentral.